Molecule: long non-coding RNA, 873 nt
Filed under: Brachypodium distachyon (stiff brome)
Lineage: Eukaryota; Viridiplantae; Streptophyta; Magnoliopsida; Poales; Poaceae
Description: long non-coding RNA (BDIS_LNC004506)
Source: RNAcentral
AAACCUUUCAUAUGCAUUGCAUCCAUGAGUAUCAUGCCACAUUGCAUAUUUGAAUUCAAAUUUGAAUCUCAAAAGGUUUUAAAAAGGUUUUAUUUCAUUUUAAACCCUAGGGUUUCACCCAUUUGAGCUUUGGAUCUUAAAACCAAUAAGGUUUAUCUAUAAAUGGGGUUUAUUGCAUAAAUAAGCUAUCCCAUAAUUUUUGGUUAUUUAUUUGGAGUUGAAAAACUAUUUUAUUUAAAUAGUUAUAUAGCCCUAAAGGCAUUUAUAGGGCAAAUGUAUUUUUAUAUAAUUUAUUUUGAGGGGAAAUUACUCCCAAAAGUUGAAUCAUGAUAGAACAUGAUUUUACAAAUUUUCUGGAAUUUAUUUGGAUCAAUUUGGAGUUCAAAAUCAAAAGAUAUCAAAGAAAUCAGAAAAAGAAAAAGAGAAAAGGCUAAAAGGAAAAAAAAAAAGGAACGGACUGACCCACUGGGCCGGCCCGCUUAGCCCGACCGAUCGAGCCGGUUGUCUCCGCCAAGAUGCCACCACGACGCCCGCGCCUUCCAUACGUGCCGCCCGCGCCAUCCCCGCCGGGAUCUCCUUGCUCCGUCCCCUAAACCUCAGCCCGAGCGCGUCUUUUUAAAGCCCGCGUCCUCCUCCUUCUUUCCCCUCGGCCCUCCCUCUCGAUUUUCGCCGCCAGGCUGCCUGAUUUCUCGCAAGAGAAGCUCGGACGCCGCCGCGUCUUUGGGUCGCCGCUGACGUGCUCGGUGAGUUUUUCUCACAGCCGCAUACCCCUCUCUUCUCCUCUCUCUCUCUCUCACACAUCGUGACGCGUGCCGUUUCCUCUUUGGUGCACCGCCGCCCGUGCCCGUCGCCGCCCGAAGCUCUGCCGCCCGC